Molecule: ribosomal RNA, 464 nt
Filed under: uncultured bacterium
Lineage: Bacteria
Description: bacterial SSU rRNA
Rfam family: Bacterial small subunit ribosomal RNA
Source: RNAcentral
ACGAACGCUGGCGGCGUGCUUAACACAUGCAAGUCGAACGAUGAAGCCCAGCUUGCUGGGUGGAUUAGUGGCGAACGGGUGAGUAACACGUGAGUAACCUGCCCUUGACUCUGGGAUAAGCGUUGGAAACGACGUCUAAUACCGGAUACGAGCUUCCACCGCAUGGUGAGUUGCUGGAAAGAAUUUUGGUCAAGGAUGGACUCGCGGCCUAUCAGCUUGUUGGUGAGGUAACGGCUCACCAAGGCGACGACGGGUAGCCGGCCUGAGAGGGUGACCGGCCACACUAGGACUGAGACACGGCCCAGACUCCUACGGGAGGCAGCAGUGGGGAAUAUUGCACAAUGGGCGAAAGCCUGAUGCAGCAACGCCGCGUGAGGGACGACGGCCUUCGGGUUGUAAACCUCUUUUAGCAGGGAAGAAGCGAAAGUGACGGUACCUGCAGAAAAAGCACCGGCUAACUACGU